CCUACGGGAGGCUGCAGUGGGGAAUAUUGGACAAUGGGGGGAACCCUGAUCCAGCCAUGCCGCGUGUGUGAAGAAGGCCCUCGGGUUGUAAAGCACUUUCAGUGAGGAAGAACGCCUGGUGGUUAAUACCCAUCAGGAAAGACAUCACUCACAGAAGAAGCACCGGCUAACUCCGUGCCAGCAGCCGCGGUAAUACGGCGGGUGCGAGCGUUAAUCGGAAUUACUGGGCGUAAGCGCGCGUAGGUGGCUUGAUAAGCCGGUUGUGAAAGCCCCGGGCUCAACCUGGGAACGGCAUCCGGAACUGUCAAGCUAGAGUGCAGGAGAGGAAGGUAGAAUUCCCGGUGUAGCGGUGAAAUGCGUAGAGAUCGGGAGGAAUACCAGUGGCGAAGGCGGCCUUCUGGACUGACACUGACACUGAGGUGCGAAAGCGUGGGUAGCAAACAGGAUUAGAUACCCCAGUAGUC
RNAcentral lists this ribosomal RNA (464 nucleotides) under Vreelandella stevensii. Its description in RNAcentral is "partial 16S ribosomal RNA". It matches the Rfam family "Bacterial small subunit ribosomal RNA", at positions 338 to 795 of the family's 1533-position model. The record is from RNAcentral. Lineage: Bacteria; Pseudomonadati; Pseudomonadota; Gammaproteobacteria; Oceanospirillales; Halomonadaceae.